This 459-nucleotide ribosomal RNA is filed under the name uncultured bacterium. RNAcentral's name for it is "partial 16S ribosomal RNA". It matches the Rfam family "Bacterial small subunit ribosomal RNA", at positions 338 to 795 of the family's 1533-position model. The record is from RNAcentral.
CCUACGGGUGGCUGCAGUGAGGAAUAUUGGUCAAUGGGCGUAAGCCUGAACCAGCCAAGUCGCGUGAGGGAUGAAGGUUCUAUGGAUCGUAAACCUCUUUUAUAAGGGAAUAAAGUGUGGGACGUGUCCUAUUUUGUAUGUACCUUAUGAAUAAGGAUCGGCUAACUCCGUGCCAGCAGCCGCGGUAAUACGGAGGAUCCGAGCGUUAUCCGGAUUUAUUGGGUUUAAAGGGUGCGCAGGCGGAGGUGCAAGUCAGCGGUCAAAUUGCGGGGCUCAACCCCGUACUGCCGUUGAAACUGCAUCCCUUGAGUGCGCGAGAAGUAUGCGGAAUGCGUGGUGUAGCGGUGAAAUGCAUAGAUAUCACGCAGAACUCCGAUUGCGAAGGCAGCAUACCGGCGCGCAACUGACGCUCAUGCACGAAAGCGUGGGUAUCGAACAGGAUUAGAUACCCUUGUAGUC